AUUGAACGCUGGCGGAAUGCUUUACACAUGCAAGUCGAACGGCAGCACGGGUGCUUGCACCUGGUGGCGAGUGGCGAACGGGUGAGUAAUGCGUCGGAACGUACCGAGUAAUGGGGGAUAACGCACCGAAAGGUGUGCUAAUACCGCAUACGCCCUGAGGGGGAAAGUGGGGGAUCGUAAGACCUCACGUUAUUCGAGCGGCCGACGUCUGAUUAGCUAGUUGGUGGGGUAAUGGCUCACCAAGGCGACGAUCAGUAGCGGGUCUGAGAGGAUGAUCCGCCACACUGGGACUGAGACACGGCCCAGACUCCUACGGGAGGCAGCAGUGGGGAAUUUUGGACAAUGGGCGAAAGCCUGAUCCAGCCAUUCCGCGUGAGUGAAGAAGGCCUUCGGGUUGUAAAGCUCUUUCAGUUGGAACGAAGCGGUACGCUCUAACAUAGCGUGCUAAUGACGGUACCGACAGAAGAAGCACCGGCUAACUACGUGCCAGCAGCCGCGGUAAUACGUAGGGUGCGAGCGUUAAUCGGAAUUACUGGGCGUAAAGCGUGCGCAGGCGGAUUGUUAAGCAAGACGUGAAAUCCCCGGGCUUAACCUGGGAAUGGCGUUUUGAACUGGCAGUCUAGAGUGUGUCAGAAGGGGGUGGAAUUCCACGUGUAGCAGUGAAAUGCGUAGAGAUGUGGAGGAACACCGAU
This 692-nucleotide ribosomal RNA is filed under the name uncultured bacterium. RNAcentral describes it as "bacterial SSU rRNA". It matches the Rfam family "Bacterial small subunit ribosomal RNA", at positions 28 to 713 of the family's 1533-position model. The record is from RNAcentral.